RNAcentral lists this transfer RNA (66 nucleotides) under Rhinoceros sondaicus (Javan rhinoceros). Its description in RNAcentral is "tRNA-Asp". The record is from RNAcentral. Lineage: Eukaryota; Metazoa; Chordata; Mammalia; Perissodactyla; Rhinocerotidae.
GAGAUAUUAGUAAAAAUUACAUAACUUUGUCAAAGUUAAGUUAUAGGCUAACCCCUAUAUAUCUCC